RNAcentral lists this ribosomal RNA (419 nucleotides) under uncultured eukaryote. Its description in RNAcentral is "SSU rRNA". It matches the Rfam family "Eukaryotic small subunit ribosomal RNA", at positions 592 to 1018 of the family's 1831-position model. The record is from RNAcentral.
CAAUAGCGUAUAUUAAAGUUGUUGCGGUAAAAGCUCGUAGUUGGAUUUCUGUUGAGGACGACCGGUCCACACCACGUGUGCGCAUCUGGCUCGGUCUCGGCAUCCUCUCGAUAGACGUUUCUGCGUUUGAUUGCGUGGUGCGGAUUUCGGGACUUUUACUUUGAGGAAAUUAGAGUGUUCACGGCAGGCUAUCGCCAGAAUACGUUAGCAUGGAAUAAUACUAUAGGAUCUCGGUUCUAUUUUGUUGGUUUCUAGAAGCGAGGUAAUGAUUAAUAGGGACAAUUGGGGGCAUUUGUAUCAACACGUCAGAGGUGGAAUUCUUGGAUUGUGUUGCGACAAACUACUGCGAAAGCAUUUGCCAAGGAUGUUUUCAUUGAUCAAGAACGAAAGUAAGGGGAUCGAAGACGAUUAGAUACCAU